RNAcentral lists this ribosomal RNA (274 nucleotides) under uncultured bacterium. Its description in RNAcentral is "partial 16S ribosomal RNA". It matches the Rfam family "Bacterial small subunit ribosomal RNA", at positions 523 to 796 of the family's 1533-position model. The record is from RNAcentral.
AUACGAAGGUCCCGAGCGUUAUUCGGAAUCACUGGGCGUAAAGGGAGCGUAGGCUGUAGGGUAAGUCAGAUGUGAAAUCUCAGAGCUCAACUCUGAAACUGCAUCCGAUACUGCCGUACUAGAGUAAUGGAGGGGUAACUGGAAUUCUCGGUGUAGCAGUGAAAUGCGUAGAUAUCGAGAGGAAGACCAACGGCGAAGGCAGGUUACUGGACAUUUACUGACGCUGAGGCUCGAAGGCUAGGGUAGCGAAAGGGAUUAGAAACCCCAGUAGUCC